UACAGAGGUCUCAAGCGUUGUUCGGAAUUACUGGGCGUAAAGCGUGCGCAGGCGGCUUUGCAAGACAGAUGUGAAAUCCCCCGGGCUCAACCUGGGAACUGCAUUUGUGACUGCAUCGCUGGAGUGCGGCAGAGGGGGAUGGAAUUCCGCGUGUAGCAGUGAAAUGCGUAGAUAUGCGGAGGAACACCGAUGGCGAAGGCAAUCCCCUGGGCCUGCACUGACGUCAUGCACGAAAGCGUGGGAGCAACAGG
This 251-nucleotide ribosomal RNA is filed under the name uncultured bacterium. RNAcentral describes it as "partial 16S ribosomal RNA". It matches the Rfam family "Bacterial small subunit ribosomal RNA", at positions 524 to 776 of the family's 1533-position model. The record is from RNAcentral.